UACGGAGGGUGCAAGCGUUAAUCGGAAUUACUGGGCGUAAAGCGCACGUAGGUGGUUUGUUGCGUCGGCUGUGAAAACCCGGGGCUCAACCCCGGGCCUGCAGCCGAUACGGGCAGACUAGAGUUCGGCAGGGGAGACUGGAAUUCCUGGUGUAGCGGUGAAAUGCGCAGAUAUCAGGAGGAACACCGGUGGCGAAGGCGGGUCUCUGGGCCGAUACUGACGCUGAGGAGCGAAAGCGUGGGGAGCGAACAGG
Molecule: ribosomal RNA, 253 nt
Filed under: uncultured bacterium
Lineage: Bacteria
Description: partial 16S ribosomal RNA
Rfam family: Bacterial small subunit ribosomal RNA
Source: RNAcentral